Molecule: ribosomal RNA, 1351 nt
Filed under: Opisthopatus cinctipes
Lineage: Eukaryota; Metazoa; Onychophora; Udeonychophora; Euonychophora; Peripatopsidae
Description: SSU rRNA
Rfam family: Eukaryotic small subunit ribosomal RNA
Source: RNAcentral
GCCAUGCACGUCUAAGUACUCGCCUUGUCUUUAAAGUGAAACCGCGAAUGGUNNANUNNNUCAGUUAUGGUUCACUAGACAGUACCUCAUCCUACUUGGAUAACUGUGGUAAUUCUAGAGCUAAUACAUGCAACUAGGCCCCGCCCGGCAUGCCGUCUUGUGCGGUACGACGGAAAGGGCGCCAUUAUCAGCCCAAAACCGACCGGGUCGCCUCCCCCUCUCCUUUACGGUAAGGGGCGGCUCCCGUCCUUAUUCCCUUUGACGACUCUGGAUAACCUGUCAGCGGAUCGCUGGGUAAACGGGCGCCCGGGGGCUUUUGCGGUCUCCGGGCCGCCCACAGCGACCAGUCUUUCAAAUGUCUGCCUUAUCAACUGUCGACGGUAGGUUAGACGCCUACCGUGGUCGUAACGGGUGACGGGGAAUCAGGGUUCGAUUCCGGAGAGGGAGCCUGAGAAACGGCUACCACAUCCAAGGAAGGCAGCAGGCACGCAAAUUACCCAAUCCCAGCACUGGGAGGUAGUGACGAAAAAUAACGAUACGGGACUCUUAAUGAGGCCUCGUAAUCGGAAUGAGUCCGCUCUAAAUCCUUUAACGAAAAUCUAUCGGAGGGCAAGUCUGGUGCCAGCAGCCGCGGUAAUUCCAGCUCCGAUAGCGUAUAUUAAAGUUGCUGCGGUUAAAAAGCUCGUAGUUGGAUUUGGGUUUUCGGGCCGUCGGGCCGCCGCCUUUGAGCGGCGCGUUUCCUGCCGUGCCCCCGGAACCGCACGGUCGCAGAGGCCCUCGUGGUGCUCUUGAAUGAGUGUCCGCGGUCUUGGGUCGCCGAACGUUUACUUUGAAAAAAUUAGAGUGCUCCAGGCAGGCCGGUAAAGCGUUUUUAAACCCGCGCCUGAAUAGUCACGCAUGGAAUAAUGAAAGAGGACCGGCGGUCCUAUUUUGUUGGUUUUAAGGAUUUUCCGCCGUCAUGAUUAAGAGGGACGGCCGGGGGCAUUCGUACCGCGGCGCGAGAGGUGAAAUUCUAGGACCGUCGUGAGACGAACCGUUGCGAAAGCAUUUGCCAAGAAUGUUUUCCUUAAUCAAGAACGAAAGUCAGAGGUUCGAAGGCGAUCAGAUACCGCCCUAGUUCUGACCGUAAACGAUGCCACCUGACGAUCCGCCAGGGUUACUACCAUGACUCGGCGGGCAGUCCCCGGGAAACCCAAGCCUUCGGGUUCCGGGGGAAGUAUGGUUGCAAAGCUGAAACUUAAAGGAAUUGAUGGAAGGGCACCACCAGGAGUGGAGCCUGCGGCUUAAUUUGACUCAACACGGUGAACCUCACCCGGCCCGGACACCGCGAGGAUUGACAGAUUGAGAGCUC